This 253-nucleotide ribosomal RNA is filed under the name uncultured bacterium. RNAcentral describes it as "partial 16S ribosomal RNA". It matches the Rfam family "Bacterial small subunit ribosomal RNA", at positions 524 to 776 of the family's 1533-position model. The record is from RNAcentral.
UACAGAGGGGGCAAGCGUUGUUCGGGAUUACUGGGCGUAAAGGGCGCGUAGGCGGCCUGCUAAGUCGAACGUGAAAUCCCCGGGCUCAACCCGGGAACUGCGUCCGAUACUGGCAGGCUUGAAUCCGGGAGAGGGAUGUGGAAUUCCAGGUGUAGCGGUGAAAUGCGUAGAUAUCUGGAGGAACACCGGUGGCGAAGGCGGCAUCCUGGACCGGUAUUGACGCUGAUGCGCGAAAGCCAGGGGAGCAAACGGG